Molecule: ribosomal RNA, 253 nt
Filed under: uncultured bacterium
Lineage: Bacteria
Description: partial 16S ribosomal RNA
Rfam family: Bacterial small subunit ribosomal RNA
Source: RNAcentral
GACGGAGGAUGCAAGCGUUAUCCGGAAUGAUUGGGCGUAAAGCGUCUGCAGGUGGCAGUUCAAGUCUGCUGUCAAAGACCGGGGCUUAACUUCGGAAAGGCAGUGGAAACUGAACAGCUAGAGUAUGGUAGGGGCAGAGGGAAUUCCUGGUGUAGCGGUGAAAUGCGUAGAGAUCAGGAAGAACAUCGGUGGCGAAGGCGCUCUGCUAGGCCGUAACUGACACUGAGGGACGAAAGCUAGGGGAGCAAACAGG